RNAcentral lists this ribosomal RNA (491 nucleotides) under uncultured bacterium. RNAcentral's name for it is "partial 16S ribosomal RNA". It matches the Rfam family "Bacterial small subunit ribosomal RNA", at positions 29 to 506 of the family's 1533-position model. The record is from RNAcentral.
AGUGAACGCUGGCGGUAGGCCUAACACAUGCAAGUCGAACGGCAGCACAGUAAGAGCUUGCUCUUACGGGUGGCGAGUGGCGGACGGGUGAGGAAUACAUCGGAAUCUACUUUUUCGUGGGGGAUAACGUAGGGAAACUUAGGCUAAUACCGCAUACGACCUACGGGUGAAAGCAGGGGAUCUUCGGACCUUGCGCGAUUGAAUGAGCCGAUGUCGGAUUAGCUAGUUGGCGGGGUAAAGGCCCACCAAGGCGACGAUCCGUAGCUGGUCUGAGAGGAUGAUCAGCCACACUGGAACUGAGACACGGUCCAGACUCCUACGGGAGGCAGCAGUGGGGAAUAUUGGACAAUGGGCGCAAGCCUGAUCCAGCCAUACCGCGUGGGUGAAGAAGGCCUGCGGGUUGUAAAGCCCUUUUGUUGGGAAAGAAAAGCAGCAGGUUAAUACCCCGCUGUUCUGACGGUACCCAAGGAAUAAGCACCGGCUAACUUCGU